Long non-coding RNA from Amaranthus tricolor (Joseph's coat), 911 nucleotides. RefSeq lists it as uncharacterized. The record is from RefSeq and is a predicted model, not a curated record. NCBI's taxonomy places the organism in Eukaryota, Viridiplantae, Streptophyta, Magnoliopsida, Caryophyllales, Amaranthaceae. The transcript has 3 exons.
CAUGCCUCCCUUCCCUCUCUUCUCCUCUUCCCUUCUCUCCUCCCUCCUCCACAGCCGGCACACCACCACCAGGCCACCUGCCUCAUUUUUUUUCCUCCACCAUGAGCAGACCAAGCCUCCCUCCCCCACGAGGAGUCACGUCUGCAGCACCCCCUCUCGCCCAGCCUACCGCCAGCAAACAAGGAUGCAGGCAGCCGGUUUUUGGCCUCGUGCCACCACCUCCACGACCUUCACUCACUUCUUCACCCUCUUGCUAGUUUUAUUUUUGUUCCCAAUUCAUAAGAGGAAAGUAGAACCUUAGUGGGGUGACUUUAGUAACUUUUGGUUGUGCAGUGACGCUUGCAGGAGGAUCAUAACUUGGCAUAACAGGUAUAGGAACUUCUUUUGCAUGGCAUUGGGGAAAAAAUAGAGUGCAAUUGUAGCCAUUACUAUACGAUUAGCCUGAUGUUGUAGCUCUUGUAUUAUUUGUUAAGUUUUGGAUUGUAUAAUUCUUUUGUAUGAAACCAUGAGACUCCUUGUAUGAUUCAUGUUCCGCUGUGUAGUUUUGGAUGUAUGCCCGUAAAACUACUUCUUUUGUAGCCGUUAAAACUGAUGCGUUAACACUGGAACCACGAUCUGUAUUGGAGUUGAUGAUUUGAGGAGCCGACGAUGAUUCAUUCCGUCAUGACAUAUUUUGGAAGGCAUUGAGGUCUUGGAUUGUUUUAGUUGUGUUAUCUUAUUUACUUACUUGGUCACACCCUCAACUUUUAGAAGAGAUGCUACCGAAAUUACCACUCACUCACCUUUUUAAGUUAAUCUUUAACGUGUAUUUAAAUUCUUUUCUUUUCUUUUCCUUUUAUGUAACACCCGAACUUCCUCCCGUCCCUCGCAAUUUUUGCUUUCAUUAAAGGGGUUGGAAAUUCAGGGGUGUU